Molecule: ribosomal RNA, 780 nt
Filed under: Euodynerus megaera
Lineage: Eukaryota; Metazoa; Arthropoda; Insecta; Hymenoptera; Vespidae
Description: eukaryotic LSU rRNA
Rfam family: Eukaryotic large subunit ribosomal RNA
Source: RNAcentral
AAACCGUUCAGGGGUAAACCUGAGAAACCCGAAAGAUCGAAUGGGGAGAUUCAGCGUCAGCGGCGUUGGCUCGGCGAAGUGGACGAUGUAGCGGACUACGGUAUCGCGACACGUUAUCACUAUGCCAUGUCCGGCGUCGUCGUCGUGCACUUCUCCCCUAGUAGAACGUCGCGACCCGUUGGGUGCCGGUCUACGGCUCGAGGUGUUAAGACUGCCGCGUCGCUUCGGCGCACGUGGCAGACCCUCGAUUGCUCGGCCGGCUGCCCGGCGGUAAAACGCACGGUAUCUGGCCGCAAUUUUUGAACUGCGUCGGGCCCGCCGCAAGCGAGGCCAGUGUCCCGGAGGUACGGACCUAGUGCCGUCCCCGAGCCUGGCCAGCUGUUGGCAGGCGGAGUCCUCAGACAGGCAGAACACGAUGGUACCGGUCGGCGACGCUACUGCUUUGGGUACUCUCAGGACCCGUCUUGAAACACGGACCAAGGAGUCUAACAUGUGCGCGAGUCAUUGGGAUUGUAAAACCUAAAGGCGCAAUGAAAGUGAAGGUCGGCUUCGCGUCGACCGAGGGAGGAUGGGCCGCGCUACGACGCGGCUCCGCACUCCCGGGGCGUCUCGUUCUCAUUGCGAGAAGAGGCGCACCCAGAGCGUACACGUUGGGACCCGAAAGAUGGUGAACUAUGCCUGGUCAGGACGAAGUCAGGGGAAACCCUGAUGGAGGUCCGUAGCGAUUCUGACGUGCAAAUCGAUCGUCGGAACUGGGUAUAGGGGCGAAAGACUAAUCGA